GAUGAACGCUGGCGGCGUGCUUAACACAUGCAAGUCGAACGGGAAAUAUUUCAUUGAGACUUCGGUGGAUUUGAUUUAUUUCUAGUGGCGGACGGGUGAGUAACGCGUGGGUAACCUGCCUUAUACAGGGGGAUAACAGUCAGAAAUGGCUGCUAAUACCGCAUAAGCGCACAGAGCUGCAUGGCUCAGUGUGAAAAACUCCGGUGGUAUAAGAUGGACCCGCGUUGGAUUAGCUUGUUGGUGGGGUAACGGCCCACCAAGGCGACGAUCCAUAGCCGGCCUGAGAGGGUGAACGGCCACAUUGGGACUGAGACACGGCCCAGACUCCUACGGGAGGCAGCAGUGGGGAAUAUUGCACAAUGGGGGAAACCCUGAUGCAGCGACGCCGCGUGAAGGAAGAAGUAUCUCGGUAUGUAAACUUCUAUCAGCAGGGAAGAUAGUGACGGUAC
This 449-nucleotide ribosomal RNA is filed under the name uncultured bacterium. RNAcentral describes it as "bacterial SSU rRNA". It matches the Rfam family "Bacterial small subunit ribosomal RNA", at positions 28 to 478 of the family's 1533-position model. The record is from RNAcentral.